UACGAAGGGGGCUAGCGUUGCUCGGAAUUACUGGGCGUAAAGGGCGCGUAGGCGGCCAGUUUAGUCAGAGGUGAAAGCCCAGGGCUCAACCUUGGAAAUGCCUUUGAUACUGGCUGUCUUGAGUUCGGGAGAGGGGAGUGGAAUGCCGAGUGUAGAGGUGAAAUUCGUAGAUAUUCGGCGGAACACCAGUGGCGAAGGCGACUCACUGGCCCGAUACUGACGCUGAGGCGCGAAAGCGUGGGGAGCAAACAGG
RNAcentral lists this ribosomal RNA (253 nucleotides) under uncultured bacterium. Its description in RNAcentral is "partial 16S ribosomal RNA". It matches the Rfam family "Bacterial small subunit ribosomal RNA", at positions 524 to 776 of the family's 1533-position model. The record is from RNAcentral.